UGGAAAUCAUAUCUACCCCUGCACCUGGGGUCUAGUUAGAGCUUAAUAAAUAUUCAUGGAACGCGUGAAAAUUGCGGGAGGGACUUUGUCUUGCCCUAAAGACGUGCCUGGCGGUGCGCUAGGGACACAAACAUGAGUUAGAUCUCUCCUUGAUUUUCAGUAGCUCCCAGGAUGUCUUGGUGCAGGAUGCAACCUAUACAACUGUACAUUAUCAUCACGGGAGAGCAGGCAACAGGCAUCGAUCAGCGCUGUCCAAAAGAGCUCUCCCCAAGGAUGAAAAUGUUCUCUGUCUGUGCCAUCCAACAGGGUAGCCAACCAGCUACUUGUGGCUACUUUGCAUUUGAGAUAUUCAGCUAGGGUAACGGAAACACUGAAUUAAAUAUAUAACAUA
This is a long non-coding RNA of Suricata suricatta (meerkat), 391 nucleotides long. RefSeq lists it as uncharacterized. Lineage: Eukaryota; Metazoa; Chordata; Mammalia; Carnivora; Herpestidae. The transcript is spliced from 2 exons. The record is from RefSeq and is a predicted model, not a curated record.